RNAcentral lists this ribosomal RNA (254 nucleotides) under uncultured bacterium. RNAcentral describes it as "partial 16S ribosomal RNA". It matches the Rfam family "Bacterial small subunit ribosomal RNA", at positions 524 to 776 of the family's 1533-position model. The record is from RNAcentral.
UACGUAGGGGCCUAGCGUUGUCCGGAUUUAUUGGGCGUAAAGAGCUCGUAGGCGGCUUGGUAAGUCAGGUGUGAAAUCUCCACGCUCAACGUGGAGGGGCCACCUGAUACUGCUAUGGCUUGAGUCCGGUAGGGGAGUGUGGAAUUCCCGGUGUAGCGGUGAAAUGCGCAGAUAUCGGGAGGAACACCCGUAGCGAAGGCGGCACUCUGGGCCGGUACUGACGCUGAGGAGCGAAAGCGUGGGGAGCAAACAGG